This 433-nucleotide ribosomal RNA is filed under the name uncultured bacterium. RNAcentral's name for it is "partial 16S ribosomal RNA". It matches the Rfam family "Bacterial small subunit ribosomal RNA", at positions 29 to 507 of the family's 1533-position model. The record is from RNAcentral.
AACGAACGCUGGCGGCAUGCCUAACACAUGCAAGUCGAACGAGACCUUCGGGUCUAGUGGCGCACGGGUGCGUAACGCGUGGGAACCUGCCCUUAGGUUCGGAAUAACUCCCCGAAAGGGGUGCUAAUACCGGAUAAUGUCUUCGGACCAAAGAUUUAUCGCCUUUGGAUGGGCCCGCGUUGGAUUAGCUAGUUGGUAGGGUAAAAGCCUACCAAGGCGACGAUCCAUAGCUGGUCGGAGAGGAUGAUCAGCCACACUGGGACUGAGACACGGCCCAGACUCCUACGGGAGGCAGCAGUAGGGAAUAUUGGACAAUGGGCGAAAGCCUGAUCCAGCAAUGCCGCGUGAGUGAUGAAGGCGUUAGGGUUGUAAUGCUCUUUUACCCGGGACGUUAAUGACAGUACCGGGAGAAUAAGCUCCGGCUAACUCCGUG